RNAcentral lists this non-coding RNA (31 nucleotides) under Homo sapiens (human). The record is from RNAcentral. Lineage: Eukaryota; Metazoa; Chordata; Mammalia; Primates; Hominidae.
CUUCAACAUACAAAUUUGGGAGACACUGACA